UCUGAUCCUGGCUGGACCCCGCGGCUCAUUCUGACUUUGGUCUCAGGGUUCUAAGGUCCCGGGUGCAGAGGGAAGCUCUGAGAGUGCGGAGGCUGAGUCUCAACACGGUGAGGCCAGCAGCACGAGAGCCACGGAUGCGCGUGUGAGUGAGUGGGUGAGGGUCCUCUUCAGCAAAGAGCGGCUCCCUUUCCUUUACUUCCCUUUGGGUUACUGACGGAUCUCUGUGCUCUCAAAAUUAACCUUUGCACAUUCUUACAUACUGAUUGAUGCAUCUUAACUUAUUUCAUUGUUUUCAUCAAUUUAGAAGAAGUGGUAAAACGCGGAGGAAGAUCACUGGGGAGAUCCAGACUCCAGAAACCUCCCUGCAAAGCCCCUGCCUGCACCCAGGCAGGCACCACCGGACACAAGAGCGGGCUCUGUGUGCUGGCUCCACAAGGCGCCUGAUUCAUGAAAGCCCUACAGGAAUUUAAUUAGCGAAGGAAUGCAUGAGGCUUAAGAGCUUCGGAUGUCAUUAACUGCCGGGAGGGGAGAGGGAGGAGAGGAAAGCUAACAGAUGUCGGAUUCAGCCGUGUUCCUGUGGAACAGACCGUUGCUGCGCUGUUUUUUCUGUUUGGGUGACUUUUAGUCACUGUUUCAGCAAGAGUGACCAUGGACCACAAGCAGAAGCACAUCGGUCUUCGGCUCCAGAAAGUUAGACGGUGGUCGGCCUGAGAAGGAGCUGCCGGCUUCAGGUUUGAUUCUCUGAAAGUUCAGUAGCCCUUUUCUCCUUCUGAAUCAGGCUUUGGGUGUAGGGAAGACUUCCUGGGACUGUCAGCCAAGCACCAGCCCUGGGCAGCUUCUGGUCCUGGAUUGACCUCAGAGCCCCAAGGCUGCCAGAGAAGACUUGAGCUGGACAAGUCAGCUGAAGUGGAUUUGGCAUUGACUGCUCUUCCACCAAAAUGAAAGAUGCAUUUUUAUAAACAGGGGUGAACGUCCAGACUCAGUGUUGUCAGAGAAUCAAGAAAUGCAAGCGCUUCCAGGCUGGGUUCCCGUCCCGCCGCCCGCUCCAUGCAUAGCCUGCUCGGUGCUGCUGAUGUCUGAGGACCCUCGAUUCUGCGUGACAGGAGAGGAAGUGAAGACACGGCCCAGUCCUGCUCCACAGCCACGUGUGGGCUCCGGCCUGCUCUUGAGUAUUCUGAAGAGCGCGCUGCUUCUCCGCACAAGUGUGGGGUAAUGGUGCUCGCUGCUGAUUGCUGCCCGCCCUCAAUCACUCUCUUUGUAAUGCCAAGCACUCAAGGAAGAGGGAGGAAAUCAGCAGCCGGGCUCCUCUCCGGGCACCUUGAUUGCUGGACCUCUGCACUCGGGACACUGCGCCCUCUGCCAUUGUCCGCAGGCUCCUUCGCCCCUUUCCACAUUUAACCCUCCCAGUAUGGCAGAAGUGACACCUAGGGGAACCGAUCUGAGCAGGGAGACGUUUCCUGAUAGUCGGAUGUGACACUAGAUGUUUUGGUCACCUAGUUAUGUUAUUUUCACAGCCUUUUCCUAUCUACUUAAAAACUUACCUUGCAUGUGUUUAA
This is a long non-coding RNA of Cavia porcellus (domestic guinea pig), 1556 nucleotides long. RefSeq lists it as uncharacterized. The record is from RefSeq and is a predicted model, not a curated record. Lineage: Eukaryota; Metazoa; Chordata; Mammalia; Rodentia; Caviidae. The transcript has 2 exons.